AGUUGAUAAAGCCACAACCGUCGUGAGGCGGUGUCGGAAAGCCAAGGAUCUCCAAGGAGACAGCCGGGUUACCUUC
RNAcentral lists this non-coding RNA (76 nucleotides) under Candidatus Electrothrix marina. RNAcentral's name for it is "c-di-GMP-I riboswitch aptamer". It matches the Rfam family "c-di-GMP-I riboswitch aptamer". From Rfam's summary of the family: GEMM was predicted in a large-scale screen for bacterial structured RNA regulatory elements. Genes associated with GEMM are involved in a diverse array of functions, including chemotaxis regulation, signal transduction, secretion and chitin. Lineage: Bacteria; Pseudomonadati; Thermodesulfobacteriota; Desulfobulbia; Desulfobulbales; Desulfobulbaceae. The record is from Rfam by way of RNAcentral.